GACGAACGCUGGCGGCGUGCUUAACACAUGCAAGUCGAACGGAAAGGCCCUGCUUUUGUGGGGUGCUCGAGUGGCGAACGGGUGAGUAACACGUGAGUAACCUGCCCUUGACUUUGGGAUAACUUCAGGAAAAUGGGGCUAAUACCGGAUAGGAGCUCCUGCUGCAUGGUGGGGGUUGGAAAGUUUCGGCGGUUGGGGAUGGACUCGCGGCUUAUCAGCUUGUUGGUGGGGUAGUGGCUUACCAAGGCUUUGACGGGUAGCCGGCCUGAGAGGGUGACCGGCCACAUUGGGACUGAGAUACGGCCCAGACUCCUACGGGAGGCAGCAGUGGGGAAUAUUGCACAAUGGGCGGAAGCCUGAUGCAGCAACGCCGCGUGCGGGAUGACGGCCUUCGGGUUGUAAACCGCUUUCGCCUGUGACGAGGCGUGAGUGACGGUAAUGGGUAAAGAAGCACCGGCUAACUACGUG
Molecule: ribosomal RNA, 468 nt
Filed under: uncultured bacterium
Lineage: Bacteria
Description: partial 16S ribosomal RNA
Rfam family: Bacterial small subunit ribosomal RNA
Source: RNAcentral